This 497-nucleotide ribosomal RNA is filed under the name uncultured bacterium. RNAcentral describes it as "partial 16S ribosomal RNA". It matches the Rfam family "Bacterial small subunit ribosomal RNA", at positions 28 to 507 of the family's 1533-position model. The record is from RNAcentral.
GAUGAACGCUGGCGGCGUGCCUAAUACGUGCAAGUCGAGCGAACAGAUGAGGAGCUUGCUCCUCUGACGUUAGCGGCGGACGGGUGAGUAACACGUGGAUAACCUACCUAUAAGACUGGGAUAACUUCGGGAAACCGGAGCUAAUACCGGAUAAUAUAUUGAACCGCAUGGUUCAAUAGUGAAAGACGGUUUUGCUGUCACUUAUAGAUGGAUCCGCGCCGCAUUAGCUAGUUGGUAAGGUAACGGCUUACCAAGGCAACGAUGCGUAGCCGACCUGAGAGGGUGAUCGGCCACACUGGAACUGAGACGCGGUCCAGACUCCUACGGGAGGCAGCAGUAGGGAAUCUUCCGCAAUGGGCGAAAGCCUGACGGAGCAACGCCGCGUGAGUGAUGAAGGUCUUCGGAUCGUAAAACUCUGUUAUUAGGGAAGAACAAAUGUGUAAGUAACUAUGCACGUCUUGACGGUACCUAAUCAGAAAGCCACGGCUAACUACGUG